Molecule: long non-coding RNA, 626 nt
Filed under: Phasianus colchicus (ring-necked pheasant)
Lineage: Eukaryota; Metazoa; Chordata; Aves; Galliformes; Phasianidae
Description: lncRNA (ENSPCLG00000006527.1)
Source: RNAcentral
UUCACACUGUGAGUGUGUGUUUUCAUUUGGCUUUUCAUUGUCCAGGUUUGCUGACUUGGAACAGCAGGGAAUACUUUUUAUACACUUUCCUGAAGCGUGAUGUGAGAGUGUAGAAAUAUUUUACUUCUCCUAUGAGAAAAGCUGGAAUAACAGAAGAAUUUUUGCUGUGAUGUCCUCCAGUCGUCCUCUGCUGAAAUCUAAGCAAUCGUGCUGAGGUGCAGAAGACAAAAGAAAGAAAAAAAAACCAAAAAACAACAACAUUGAUACAUUAUUCAUUAUUCAUGCCAGAGAAAGAGAGAGGCGCUGAUGGAGAAACUAAGUAAACAGACUGUCAAGGAGAGGAGACAAGGCUUCUCCUUCAAGAGGAUGUUCCAGCUGCAGUACCCUGCAGGUGGCGAUUUGCUGAGACUCUGAAUAACUUCUCACACCAAAGAAGAGUGGCAGUAUUUCCUUGUUAUCUAUGUUGGCAGAAUAGCACAGCACUGAACUGAUAUUUUUUGAGAAGAGAGCUAUCCACAGAGAUGUACUGCAAAGAAUCUCAGUAAAAUAUUCUUCAUUUCUCACCUGGAAUAUGAAUGGACUUUGAAACUUCAAGGUCACUGCACAUACCCGUCUCGUGAUUCAGA